RNAcentral lists this transfer RNA (73 nucleotides) under Ictidomys tridecemlineatus (thirteen-lined ground squirrel). RNAcentral's name for it is "Spermophilus tridecemlineatus (thirteen-lined ground squirrel) tRNA". It matches the Rfam family "tRNA". Rfam says of the family: Transfer RNA (tRNA) molecules are approximately 80 nucleotides in length. Their secondary structure includes four short double-helical elements and three loops (D, anti-codon, and T loops). Further hydrogen bonds mediate the characteristic L-shaped molecular structure. tRNAs have two regions of fundamental functional importance: the anti-codon, which is responsible for specific mRNA codon recognition, and the 3' end, to which the tRNAs corresponding amino acid is attached (by aminoacyl-tRNA synthetases). tRNAs cope with the degeneracy of the genetic code in two manners: having more than one tRNA (with a specific anti-codon) for a particular amino acid; and 'wobble' base-pairing, i.e. permitting non-standard base-pairing at the 3rd anti-codon position. The record is from Rfam by way of RNAcentral. Lineage: Eukaryota; Metazoa; Chordata; Mammalia; Rodentia; Sciuridae.
GGGGACAUAGCUCAGCUGGUAGAGUGCUUGUCUCACAUGCACAAGGUCCUGAGUUCAAUCCUCAGCACCACCA